This 433-nucleotide ribosomal RNA is filed under the name uncultured bacterium. Its description in RNAcentral is "bacterial SSU rRNA". It matches the Rfam family "Bacterial small subunit ribosomal RNA", at positions 29 to 507 of the family's 1533-position model. The record is from RNAcentral.
AACGAACGCUGGCGGCAGGCCUAACACAUGCAAGUCGAGCGAGACCUUCGGGUCUAGCGGCGGACGGGUGAGUAACGCGUGGGAACGUGCCCUUUGGUACGGAAUAGCCCCGGGAAACUGGGAGUAAUACCGUAUAAGCUCUUCGGAGGAAAGAUUUAUCGCCAAAGGAUCGGCCCGCGUUGGAUUAGGUAGUUGGUGGGGUAAUGGCCUACCAAGCCGACGAUCCAUAGCUGGUUUGAGAGGAUGAUCAGUCACACUGGAACUGAGACACGGUCCAGACUCCUACGGGAGGCAGCAGUGGGGAAUAUUGCACAAUGGACGAAAGUCUGAUGCAGCAACGCCGCGUGGAGGAUGACACAUUUCGGUGCGUAAACUCCUUUUAUAUAGGAAGAUAAUGACGGUACUAUAUGAAUAAGCACCGGCUAACUCCGUG